Molecule: transfer RNA, 70 nt
Filed under: Dipodomys ordii (Ord's kangaroo rat)
Lineage: Eukaryota; Metazoa; Chordata; Mammalia; Rodentia; Heteromyidae
Rfam family: tRNA
About the family: Transfer RNA (tRNA) molecules are approximately 80 nucleotides in length.
Source: Rfam by way of RNAcentral
GGGAAUGUAGCUCAGCGGUAGAGCGCUUGCCUAGAAUGCAUAAAGCCCUAGGUUCAAUCCCUCAGUACUA